GGGUUAGAAUGUCUUCGGCGAUUAAUCAAGUCCAAUUCCUUCCACUCCCUGAGGGCUUGACAGGAUGAACAACAGUCUCCCCACAUAGAAACUUUGUACGCCGCAACAACUCCCGCCAAGAAGAUGGACCCCAAUUCCCCCAAGAAGCUUGAACCAAGAGCGUUAGAGAAGAGGGAUAGGAUCGGAGAAUCCCAAAUCUCUCUUGAAGAGGAGAAACUUCAAAAGUCCCGCUACAUGCAAGUAGAAGAAUAGUAUGGUAAUUGCCAGUGCAAGAUCCGAUACUUUUCCCACCUUGGAUUCAAGCCACAUGAGGCCUUUCAACAUGGACAUUUCUAGGAUACUACGAGAAAGGAUGGCCAUAUGAGGAUAUUUCUUAGAAAAGGAAAAGGGUUUAGAUAGAGUUUUGGGUUUCACUUUGUAGAAGAUGAAACCAACUAACCCGAUGUAGAUAAAAGAGUGAGUGAGAAGCACACCCUCCAUGAUGGAAUGGUGUGGGACUAUUUCCCACACUUUAGAGA
Arabidopsis thaliana (thale cress) is the source of this 518-nucleotide long non-coding RNA. RefSeq annotates it as other RNA. The record is from RefSeq. The transcript has a single exon. Lineage: Eukaryota; Viridiplantae; Streptophyta; Magnoliopsida; Brassicales; Brassicaceae.